CUUGUAUAAUGGCAAUCUUGGGAGUGUUAUGGGAAACUUAAGAAACUAUUGGGACUAGAUGCCUCUCUCUCUGCUCAGUCAAAGCCAGGGCGAGAAAAGGAACCAAAGAGGUUGUAAGGAUUGUGUAGCGAAUUACCUAUUUAGCCACCAAAGGA
Molecule: long non-coding RNA, 155 nt
Organism: Neltuma alba
Lineage: Eukaryota; Viridiplantae; Streptophyta; Magnoliopsida; Fabales; Fabaceae
Exons: 3
Source: RefSeq, a predicted model, not a curated record